UACGGGGGGGCCCAAACGUUAUUCGGAAUUACUGGGCGUAAAGGGCUCGUAGGCGGCCAACUAAGUCAUACGUGAAAUCCCUCGGCUUAACCGGGGAACUGCGUCUGAUACUGGAUGGCUUGAGAUUGGGAGAGGGAUGCGGAAUUCCAGGUGUAGCGGUGAAAUGCGUAGAUAUCUGGAGGAACACCGGUGGCGAAGGCGGCAUCCUGGACCAACACUGACGCUGAGGAGCGAAAGCCAGGGGAGCAAACGGG
This 254-nucleotide ribosomal RNA is filed under the name uncultured bacterium. RNAcentral's name for it is "partial 16S ribosomal RNA". It matches the Rfam family "Bacterial small subunit ribosomal RNA", at positions 524 to 776 of the family's 1533-position model. The record is from RNAcentral.